AUUGAACGUUGGCGGCAGGCUUAACACAUGCAAGUCGAGCGGUAGCACAAGAGAGCUUGCUCUCUGGGUGACGAGCGGCGGACGGGUGAGUAAUGUCUGGGAAACUGCCUGAUGGAGGGGGAUAACUACUGGAAACGGUAGCUAAUACCGCAUAACGUCGCAAGACCAAAGAGGGGGACCUUCGGGCCUCUUGCCAUCAGAUGUGCCCAGAUGGGAUUAGCUAGUAGGUGGGGUAAUGGCUCACCUAGGCGACGAUCCCUAGCUGGUCUGAGAGGAUGACCAGCCACACUGGAACUGAGACACGGUCCAGACUCCUACGGGAGGCAGCAGUGGGGAAUAUUGCACAAUGGGCGCAAGCCUGAUGCAGCCAUGCCGCGUGUGUGAAGAAGGCCUUCGGGUUGUAAAGCACUUUCAGCGAGGAGGAAGGUGGUGAACUUAAUACGUUCAUCAAUUGACGUUACUCGCAGAAGAAGCACCGGCUAACUCCGUG
Molecule: ribosomal RNA, 490 nt
Filed under: uncultured bacterium
Lineage: Bacteria
Description: partial 16S ribosomal RNA
Rfam family: Bacterial small subunit ribosomal RNA
Source: RNAcentral